This 451-nucleotide ribosomal RNA is filed under the name uncultured bacterium. RNAcentral describes it as "partial 16S ribosomal RNA". It matches the Rfam family "Bacterial small subunit ribosomal RNA", at positions 354 to 796 of the family's 1533-position model. The record is from RNAcentral.
GUGGGGAAUAUUGGACAAUGGGGGGAACCCUGAUCCAGCCAUGCCGCGUGUGUGAAGAAGGCCUUUUGGUUGUAAAGCACUUUAAGUGGGGAGGAGGCUUACUUGGUUAAUACCUGGGCUAAGUGGACGUUACCAACAGAAUAAGCACCGGCUAACUCUGUGCCAGCAGCCGCGGUAUUACAGAGGGUGCGAGCGUUAAUCGGAUUUACUGGGCGUAAAGCGCGCGUAGGUGGUUAAUUAAGUCAAAUGUGAAAUCCCCGAGCUUAACUUGGGAAUUGCAUUCGAUACUGGUUAGCUAGAGUAUGGGAGAGGAUGGUAGAAUUCCAGGUGUAGCGGUGAAAUGCGUAGAGAUCUGGAGGAAUACCGAUGGCGAAGGCAGCCAUCUGGCCUAAUACUGACGCUGAGGUACGAAAGCAUGGGGAGCAAACAGGAUUAGAAACCCCAGUAGUCC